GCGGCGGUGGAGGAAUUGGCAGACUCGAUGGAUUCAAAAUCCAUUGCCCGAGAGGGCGUGUGGGUUCGAGUCCCACCCGCCGCA
This 84-nucleotide transfer RNA is filed under the name Thermoleophilaceae bacterium. RNAcentral describes it as "tRNA-Leu". It matches the Rfam family "tRNA". Rfam says of the family: Transfer RNA (tRNA) molecules are approximately 80 nucleotides in length. RNAcentral also lists the same sequence under 1 other name. The record is from RNAcentral. Lineage: Bacteria; Bacillati; Actinomycetota; Thermoleophilia; Thermoleophilales; Thermoleophilaceae.